UACGUAGGGUGCAAGCGUUGUCCGGAAUUAUUGGGCGUAAAGAGCUCGUAGGCGGUCUGUCGCGUCGGCUGUGAAAACCCGGGGCUCAACCCCGGGCCUGCAGUCGAUACGGGCAGACUAGAGUGCGGUAGGGGAGACUGGAAUUCCUGGUGUAGCGGUGAAAUGCGCAGAUAUCAGGAGGAACACCGGAGGCGAAGGCGGGUCUCUGGGCCGUAACUGACGCUGAGGAGCGAAAGCGUGGGGAGCGAACAGG
This 253-nucleotide ribosomal RNA is filed under the name uncultured bacterium. RNAcentral's name for it is "partial 16S ribosomal RNA". It matches the Rfam family "Bacterial small subunit ribosomal RNA", at positions 524 to 776 of the family's 1533-position model. The record is from RNAcentral.